RNAcentral lists this unclassified non-coding RNA (258 nucleotides) under fungal sp. Its description in RNAcentral is "partial internal transcribed spacer region". The stretch from base 1 to 46 matches the Rfam family "Eukaryotic small subunit ribosomal RNA", at positions 1786 to 1831 of the family's 1831-position model. The record is from RNAcentral. Lineage: Eukaryota; Fungi.
AAGUCGUAACAAGGUAACCGUAGGUGAACCUGCGGUUGGAUCAUUUCCGAUCUGCGCCCUGACGAAGGGCCGAUCUACAACUGUGCACGGUAAAUCGUGUUUGGCAGUCUAGGGGGAGACCAGACCCGGAUUCCCGGCGACGGCUCCCCGGACAUCUCGUCCGGACUGCCGCGUAACAACGGACCACUGUCAGUUUUGGCUGAUCGUCACUCUGUGAUAAAUCUGAAACAACUUUCGACAAUGGAUCUCUUGGCUCUC